RNAcentral lists this unclassified non-coding RNA (165 nucleotides) under uncultured Chaetothyriaceae. RNAcentral's name for it is "sequence contains ITS2". Lineage: Eukaryota; Fungi; Ascomycota; Eurotiomycetes; Chaetothyriales; Chaetothyriaceae. The record is from RNAcentral.
UCCUCCCUCAAACCUCGUGUUUGGUGUUGGACCGUGUUGGUCGAGCGACCAACUGGUCUCAAAGACAAUGACGGCGUCCGUGGGACCCUCGGUGCAACGAGCUUUAACCCAGCGCGCGUCGAGUUUCAAGGACCCUCCGGGCCGGUCUUGACCUCUAUCUUCUCA